RNAcentral lists this ribosomal RNA (563 nucleotides) under Achirus lineatus (lined sole). RNAcentral describes it as "partial large subunit ribosomal RNA". It matches the Rfam family "Bacterial large subunit ribosomal RNA", at positions 1898 to 2606 of the family's 2925-position model. Lineage: Eukaryota; Metazoa; Chordata; Actinopteri; Pleuronectiformes; Achiridae. The record is from RNAcentral.
GUCCCGCCUGCCCACUGAUCCCAGAUUCAACGGCCGCGGUAUUUUGACCGUGCUAAGGUAGCGUAAUCACUUGUCUUUUAAAUGAAGACCCGUAUGAAAGGCUUAACGAGGGCUUAACUGUCUCCUUUUUCCAGUCAAUGAAACUGAUCUCCCCGUGCAGACGCGGGGAUUAAAACAUAAGACGAGAAGACCCUAUGGAGCUUUAGACACCAAGGCAGCCUAUUUUAAAUAACCCUAAACAAGCAACAAAUCUAUUAGUAACCUGCCUCAGUCUUAGGUUGGGGCGACCCUGGGGAAAUACAAAACCCCCAUGUGGAGAGGGGGGACCUACUACACAACCCCUAAAGACUCGAAACACAAUUCUAAUCAACAGAACCUCUGACCAAAUUGAUCCGGCCCAAGCCGAUUAACGAAACAAGUUACCCUAGGGAUAACAGCGCUAUCCCCUUUUAAAGUCCAUAUAGACAAGGGGGCUUACGACCUCGAUGUUGGAUCAGGACAUCCUAAUGGUGCAGCCGCUAUUAAGGGUUCGUUUGUUCAACGAUUAAAGUCCUACGUGAUCU